RNAcentral lists this ribosomal RNA (96 nucleotides) under uncultured bacterium. RNAcentral's name for it is "partial 16S ribosomal RNA". It matches the Rfam family "Bacterial small subunit ribosomal RNA", at positions 1375 to 1482 of the family's 1533-position model. The record is from RNAcentral.
CGGGCCUUGUACACACCGCCCGUCACACCACGAAAGUCCAUUGGACCAGAAGCUGUUGUUCUUUCAACAUCCAAGGUCUGAUUGAUGAUUGGGGUG